UGCAGCCAGCAGCAUCGCAAGUCUCUAGGCUGACAUUUUUUGUAUAAAUGGACGCACAAGGUUAGAUUCUUAGUUGUCGUGGUUGUGUUUGUUCAUCGUGUAAUGUAUCUAUGUAACAUAAAAGAGUGGGUUUGUGUGCAUUAUUGCAUGUGAUAAGCACCCUUGGAUGUCUCAUCGGUCGUGUCAUGAGCAUGUCGUGCAGCUCCAUAUGUCACUUCAGUAGUGGGCCUGGGUGCAGCAGACCCAGGAGACAGCCAUACAGUCAUAGUGUGGGUGUGUGAGGGAGAAAUGCAGAAAUCAGUCAAUAACUGCACAUCAGGGGAACGGUCGGCUGCAGACAGCAACCUGCAACCUGCAACCUGACUGCCAGUGCUUCAGCAGGUGAGCAGUUCUGACAGUGCAGAGUCAGCAGUUUUAGCUGAUGUGGAGAGACUUGCACUCAGUGGAAAAAGCUUCUAUUGAGUGGAAUUUUUACUUUACUUUACUUCCACUCUACCUGAGUGGAAGUAAAGUAAAGAAUCCAACCUGGCUCCUUUUUUAGUACUAUAAGCUGCUAAAACAGCUGCAACAAGUAUCCACACAGUGAGACAGGAAUGAACCAGUCUAACAAAUCAAACUGCAUUCUUUAAACAUCGGACAGAAUGAUGGAAAUGACAGACAAGAGACAGAGAGGGAGGUAUACUAAGGCCAAGGACAGUGUCAAGAGAGAACAAAAUAUGAGGACAGGAAAGAAAAUUAAUAGAUCGACAGAUUGUGUAUUUUUCUGUAACAGUGCCAAAGAGAUUCAAAAGACAGAAAGCAUGAAAAAGAAACAGAGGACGUGAGACAGAGCGAAAGCUGGCCCAUAUGCAGCAGCGAGUAGCCAUUGCAGGCCUUUUGGUCACGUUUUUUUUUUUUUUUUUUACCUCUGUGCUUUUUCACUGAAGGGACGAUGCAGCAGUGCAGAGUCACGAACGCAGACAUGCAUGCAUAUAAAGCCAUGCCUGAUUUGCAAGGGAAAGCUGAGAGUCAUGCUUGCUGUCCCUGCAGCAGAUUGUUGCAAUGCCUCACUGCCUUCCCUGCUGCAGGCCCAGACGAUGACCACACAGCGUGAUGAAACCCCAGAGCAUCAGAACAGGGUUAGUUAGGGUUAGCAGGCAGUCAGUUCCAACAGUCUUCAAACAUGCCACUGUUUUUUUUUUUUUACAUAUUUAAGCUAUCUGAUAAUACUGCAGAUAACUAACAUAGCUUAAAUUUAAUUCAGCAGUGACUAAUCAUGUUUGUGGUUAUUUGGUGUUUGUAACCUUCUUGAGCUACCAGAUGGGUGGGGUAAAGUUUCAAGUACACAUUCUGUUCCCAGUGUGAAAAAUCCCACCAUUACUGCACUGGCAGGAUGUGAGAGCAAAUGUUACCAGUUUUACUUGCAUUACUGUCUGACCGAGGUCUGGUUUGUAAAGACCAAUUGGCACAGCUUAUAGGCCUGUGAAUAGCCGACUAAUGCAUGUAAAUUCAGAUUAAUGUUGGUUGUUAACCUUUUACCACCUUCUGUUUAGCCGGGUAUCACCAUGUAGAAAUUUCACAGCUAAUAUUAUGAAAAGUAAUCAUAUGUUUUUAUAUUAUAUAUGGACAGUCAAUUAUAAAAGUAUAGUAUAAAGCUGAAACAUUAAGAAUCUGAUUGCCUUCCUAAAUUCAAAGCACUUUGGCAGUACAACAAUUUAAGGAAUUAUUGGAGACUUUAUUUCCAAAUUCAUUGGAAGUAUCUAACAAUAUAAAAUAAUCCAUUUGUUUUCAUUUACGUGGACCAGACUCUAAAAAUGUGAGGAUGGGUGUUAGGGUUAAAUAAAGCUAUAAAGGCGAUAUGCACAAUGACUCAGUAAAAGCUGUUUGGGGAAGCUUUUUUUAAAAAAAAUUAUGAGGUAUAUGUUUAAUUUAAUAAUAAGUUUAAAACUAUAGCACAAACACAAAUCACAUUAAAUGUAUUUUAUUAUUUUCCUGUCUCUGUUAACUCAUUUUUGUAAUGCAUAUAGACUAUAUAUAUACAGACAGUAUAUAUAUACAUAUACAUAUAAGUGUUGGGCAAUGUAUAUCAUAUAGGAAAUGAACAGUAAGUAUAGAAUUUGAUCCUGAAGCCCACGCUGCUGUUCAUGAGGGUGACUUUGUCACUGUGGUGCUGCUAAUAAAGUUAUUUUCAAUCUCGUUUCAACCAAAAUGGCUGCCAGUAGUAUCCUUUCUUAACCUCUGUCAUACCUUCAUGUUUAUCACUCCUUCCUGCCAAACACCUCCCCACACCACCCCGCCUUGCAGUACAAGAACGGAGGGGAGGGAGAAAUCCCCCCAAUUCUCGGUCUCCACAGCAACAGCAGUCAGAUGACCUUGUCUCCGACUUGUUCUGCUGAGUCAGAAAUGGAGGGAUGGGUGAGGGGGACACAGUGAGGAAAGAAUAGCAGGAAGAAAGAAAGAGAGGAAGCGAGAGAUGACACAGAGAGAAAGGUUUCUAAAGAGCCAUUGUGAAGCUCAUCGUGUGGUGACUGUGGCCAUCGCCAUCUUGGCAGCCCAAAAUGGAAAUGGGCAAAGACAUGGAGCGUGGAUGGAGCUGAGGUAGGCUAAAUGAACUGAUACUACUGAUAACAUCCACCUGUAACGACACCAACCCUUCACUCAAAGCAGCCAUGCUCUUAAUUAUGCAUAACUUAUAAUUAAUAUAAUUCCAACGCCACUACAGUUGUCAUGAAUGGAGAUUAGCUACAGAGACUGAAACCGUUUCUUAUAUCAGGCUGAAAAGCUGUAAAGUUGGGCAUUUUAAUAUGGGACCUUAUGGAGAUUGAUUCCUGUUCUGUAGCCUCAAGUGGCCAUUUGAGUAACUACCGUUUUUGAUGCAUUAGCUUAAUUUAUCAUUUGGGUGCAACAAACAGGGAGAUGUCAAUCGAAGGCCGUUUGUACACACACACACACACACACAGACACACACACACACACGCAUACACACAGACACACACAGUUAUAUGGAUAAAUAAAAUUGGAAAAUUUUAAAUAAACAGAUUUUAAAGAA
Long non-coding RNA from Dicentrarchus labrax (European seabass), 3028 nucleotides. RefSeq lists it as uncharacterized. The record is from RefSeq and is a predicted model, not a curated record. Lineage: Eukaryota; Metazoa; Chordata; Actinopteri; Moronidae. The transcript has 2 exons.